GAAGUUUCCUAGUAGGUUCAUCGCUUCUUCCUCUUGGCCCAGGUGAGACCCCAGAACGUUCUGAAAACUUGGAACCUAAAAAGAAGAAAUACAUUGCUCCAGGAUACAAUGAGUGCUUCCAACGUAGUCAAGAAAGACAAGUUAAUGUAUAAAACCAUCAAAUAAACACAGUAUGUACAUUGCUUCUCCAAAAGAGACAGGAGAGGUUACGGAGAAGGGACUCCUGGCCAAUACACACCUAAUGCCUGCCAGCAUUGUAGCCUGGAGAAGUCUAAUGUCUGGGGGCUUCAGCAAGAGUGGACUUGAUCAGGAGAGGACUUUAUCCAGGAUGACUGCUGGUCAAAGGGUGGGGAUGAAGAAUACCAGUAGGUGGCUUUAGUGGCCUGAGACUUGGUUCCCUUGGAAGUUCAAGAGAGGGAUACUGCUGCAAGUAAUGUCAUCCACACCUUGCCUCCCCAGGUCGGAGCUACUGUCUAUGCAACACUCAGAGAUUACCAGACACUUUACCUACAUUGGCAUUUGGUCAACUCAACAACCUUCUGAGACCAUCCCUGAGCUAACAUCUGCUGCCAAUCCUCCUCUUUUUGCUGGGGAAGACUGGCCCUGAGCUAGCAUCCAUGCCUAUCUUCCUCUACUUUAUAUGUUUGAUGCCUACCACAGCAUGGCGUGCCAAGUGGUGCCAUGUCCACACCCAGGAUGUGAACCAGCGAACCCCAGGCUGCUGAGAAGUGGAACAAGCGCACUUAACCGCUGUGCCACCAGGCCGGCCCCUCUGACUGAUCUUGAGAAAGUUAUUGAACUACUAGUGCCUCAGUUUCUUCAUUUUACAG
Molecule: long non-coding RNA, 830 nt
Filed under: Equus caballus (horse)
Lineage: Eukaryota; Metazoa; Chordata; Mammalia; Perissodactyla; Equidae
Description: lncRNA (ENSECAG00000054133.1)
Source: RNAcentral